Molecule: small RNA, 528 nt
Filed under: Pan troglodytes (chimpanzee)
Lineage: Eukaryota; Metazoa; Chordata; Mammalia; Primates; Hominidae
Description: retained intron
Source: RNAcentral
AGUCCUCAGCUUGGACUGGAACCUGACACUUGGGAUGACAAAUACUUUUAACUCAUAUAUUGGCAUCAGUUUGUUCAUUUAUUGGUUAAAGAAUCUUAAUGUUGACUAAUUUGAGUAAAUUUUCUUUCUGCUCUAAUUUUUAACUUUCUAGGUAGAUUAUGAUAAUCAUGCACUUUAUAAACACGGAAAGACAGGUCGAAAACAGUCUCCCGUGCGUAUUUUCACCAACAUUCCGCCAGACAAAAUAAUCCUUCCUACUGAAGAAGGGUACAGAUUUUGCUCUCUGUGUCAACGGUAUGUUUCUCUAGAGAAUCAACACUGUGAGCACUGUAAUUCUUGCACAUCCAAGGAUGGCAGGAAAUGGAACCAUUGCUUUCUCUGUAAAAAGUGUGUAAAGCCUUCCUGGAUCCACUGUAGCAUUUGCAAUCACUGUGCUGUUCCAGAUCAUUCUUGCGAGGGCCCCAAAGAUGGCUGCUUUAUUUGUGGUGAAUUGGAUCAUAAACGCAGUACUUGUCCUAACAUUGCUAC